UACGGAGGGUGCAAGCAUUAAUCGGAUUUAUUGGGCGUAAAGGGCGCGUAGGCGGGUAAGUAAGUCAGUUGUGAAAUCCUGAUACUCAACAUCAGGACUGCAUCUGAAACUACUUAUCUUGAGGGUAGGCGGAGAAAAUGGAAUUCCACAUGUAGCGGUGAAAUGCGUAGAUAUGUGGAAGAAUACCUGUGGCGAAAGCGGUUUUCUAGCUUAUUUCUGACGCUAAUGCGCGAGAGCAUGGGGAGCAAACAGG
Molecule: ribosomal RNA, 253 nt
Filed under: uncultured bacterium
Lineage: Bacteria
Description: partial 16S ribosomal RNA
Rfam family: Bacterial small subunit ribosomal RNA
Source: RNAcentral